Momordica charantia (bitter melon) is the source of this 303-nucleotide long non-coding RNA. RefSeq lists it as uncharacterized. The record is from RefSeq and is a predicted model, not a curated record. NCBI's taxonomy places the organism in Eukaryota, Viridiplantae, Streptophyta, Magnoliopsida, Cucurbitales, Cucurbitaceae.
GGAGAAGCAGUCACAAAGAGAGGCCUACUAGUCAUAAACUUCUCUCUCACCACUCCUCACUCAUUUUUCGUAUUCUAUCGCACGUUUGUGGCAGAUUGGAAACAUAGGCUCAGGGUAUUGGUAGCAGCAUUGAGAUAGAUCAAGAUAGUCAUAUUCGAGGAGACGCACGAAGGGGAAGGAUGUGUUGCACCGUGUUCGUGAUGAAGAGGAAAAGGUCGCACCGUUCGCCGAUGGGUUUCGUCGCUUGGAGGAGAUAUCGCUAGGGGAGAGCUAAGAAGAAGAAUAAAGGAUGGGGAGUUCGAA